AGCGAACGCUGGCGGCAGGCUUAACACAUGCAAGUCGAACGGGCACUUCGGUGCUAGUGGCAGACGGGUGAGUAACGCGUGGGAACGUGCCUUUCGGUUCGGAAUAAUCCAGGGAAACUUGGACUAAUACCGGAUACGCCCUUCGGGGAAGAUUUAUCGCCGAAGAUCGGCCCGCGUCUGAUUAGCUAGUUGGUGAGGUAAAGGCUCACCAAGGCGACGAUCAGUAGCUGGUCUGAGAGGAUGAUCAGCCACACUGGGACUGAGACACGGCCCAGACUCCUACGGGAGGCAGCAGUGGGGAAUAUUGGACAAUGGGCGAAAGCCUGAUCCAGCCAUGCCGCGUGAGUGAUGAAGGGCCUUAGGGGUUGUAAAGCUCUUUUGUCCGGGAAGAUAAUGACUGUACCGGAAGAAUAAGCCCCGGCUAACUUCGUGCCAGCAGCCGCGGUAAU
Molecule: ribosomal RNA, 449 nt
Filed under: uncultured bacterium
Lineage: Bacteria
Description: bacterial SSU rRNA
Rfam family: Bacterial small subunit ribosomal RNA
Source: RNAcentral